UGGCGAACGGGUGAGUAACGCGUGAGGAACCUGCCUCAAAGAGGGGGACAACAGUUGGAAACGACUGCUAAUACCGCAUAAGCCCACGGCUCGGCAUCGAGCAGAGGGAAAAGGAGCAAUCCGCUUUGGGAUGGCCUCGCGUCCGAUUAGCUAGUUGGUGAGGUAACGGCCCACCAAGGCGACGAUCGGUAGCCGGACUGGGAGGUUGAACGGCCACAUUGGGACUGAGACACGGCCCAG
This 240-nucleotide ribosomal RNA is filed under the name uncultured bacterium. Its description in RNAcentral is "partial 16S ribosomal RNA". It matches the Rfam family "Bacterial small subunit ribosomal RNA", at positions 96 to 334 of the family's 1533-position model. The record is from RNAcentral.